AUAUAGCGCUAUUGCUAGAUUUGGCAGACAGAGCGCUGCAUAAAAGACGUAUUUUUAGAGACCGUGCAGACUUACUUGCAGAGAAUGAUGACUGGUUGAUUAGUCGUUUCAGACUACCCGGACCACUUCUUUUGUAUUUAUGCAGUAUAUUGGAGGCCAAACUCAGAAGGGAAACCAGAAGAUCCCACAGCAUUCCUGAACACUUGCAGGUGCUGUCCGUGCUUGGUUUUUUGGCAACAGGAACAUUCCAGCGGGAGAUUGCAGACAGGUCAGGGAUAUCUCAGUCAUCCAUGAGUCGCAUCAUCCCAGAUGUUCUUGAUGGCCUAAUACGGCUACUGCCUCAAUAUAUAAAAUUACCCUAUAACCUAGUCCAUCAGUUGGAAGUGAAGCAGAGAUUCUUUGCAAUUACAAACCUGCCAAACGUCAUCGGGGCAAUUGACUGCACACACAUUCGCAUCAAGGCGCCAUCAAAUGAUGCAUUUGCAUUUCUGAAUUGGAAAAACUAUCAUUCCAUCAAUGUGCAAAUAAUUUGUGAUGCUAAAUGUGCAAUAUUUAAUGUUGUGGCCCGCUGGCCAGGUGGAACUCAUGAUAGUUUCAUCCUUCGGAGCAGCUCAGUUGGCAGACGUUUGGACAGUGGUGCAGUUGAAGAUGGAUGGCUAAUUGCACUUCUUGACUUAAAACCAUCUGUGCAGAGCCAACACUGCGGGAUGGUGCGGAAUAUACUACCGGUCCAGGUGCCGUAGGAUGAAUGGGUCUGGUUGCCGCUUCAGUGGUCUCAUGGGCGGACACAGUUGGCAUUUGUCUGUCUUUACAAAGAAUUUAAAAAAAAUCAGCUCAAAUGUGCAUUUCCUCUAAAAUUAUUAUAUCUCUUACUUUUAACACUUUAAAAUUGACCUAAAUUAUUUAAUAAAACUGUAGCCUCACCA
Long non-coding RNA from Sinocyclocheilus rhinocerous, 926 nucleotides. RefSeq lists it as uncharacterized. NCBI's taxonomy places the organism in Eukaryota, Metazoa, Chordata, Actinopteri, Cypriniformes, Cyprinidae. The transcript has 2 exons. The record is from RefSeq and is a predicted model, not a curated record.